Molecule: ribosomal RNA, 567 nt
Filed under: uncultured bacterium
Lineage: Bacteria
Description: bacterial SSU rRNA
Rfam family: Bacterial small subunit ribosomal RNA
Source: RNAcentral
CGGGAGGCAGCAGUAGGGAAUCUUGCGCAAUGGGCGAAAGCCUGACGCAGCAACGCCGCGUGGGGGAUGAAGGCUCUCGGGUUGUAAACCCCUUUCAGUGGGGACGAAUCAAGACGGUACCCACAGAAGAAGCUCCGGCUAACUACGUGCCAGCAGCCGCGGUAACACGUAGGGGGCAAGCGUUGUCCGGAUUUAUUGGGCGUAAAGAGCUCGUAGGUGGCUCGGUAAGUCGGGUGUUAAACCCCCAGGCUCAACCUGGGGACGCCACUCGAUACUGCUGUGGCUAGAGUCCGGUAGGGGAGCGUGGAAUUCCUGGUGUAGCGGUGAAAUGCGCAGAUAUCAGGAGGAACACCAGCGGCGAAGGCGGCGCUCUGGGCCGGUACUGACACUGAGGAGCGAAAGCGUGGGUAGCAAACAGGAUUAGAUACCCUGGUAGUCCACGCCGUAAACGUUGGGCACUAGGUGUGGAGUCUCUUCAACGGAUUCCGUGCCGUAGCUAACGCAUUAAGUGCCCCGCCUGGGGAGUACGGCCGCAAGGCUAAAACUCAAAGGAAUUGACGGAAUCGA